AUUGAACGCUGGCGGAAUGCUUUACACAUGCAAGUCGAACGGCAGCACGGGGGCAACCCUGGUGGCGAGUGGCGAACGGGUGAGUAAUACAUCGGAACGUGCCCAGUCGUGGGGGAUAACGUAGCGAAAGUUACGCUAAUACCGCAUACGAUCUACGGAUGAAAGCGGGGGACCGUAAGGCCUCGCGCGAUUGGAGCGGCCGAUGUCAGAUAAGGUAGUUGGUGAGGUAAAGGCUCACCAAGCCAACGAUCUGUAGCUGGUCUGAGAGGACGACCAGCCACACUGGAACUGAGACACGGUCCAGACUCCUACGGGAGGCAGCAGUGGGGAAUUUUGGACAAUGGACGCAAGUCUGAUCCAGCCAUUCCGCGUGCAGGAUGAAGGCCCUCGGGCUGUAAACUGCUUUUGUACGGAACGAAAAGGUCUCUCUUAAUACGGGGGACUCAUGACGGUACCGUAAGAAUAAGUACCGGCUAACUACGUGCCAGCAGCCGCCGUAA
This 500-nucleotide ribosomal RNA is filed under the name uncultured bacterium. Its description in RNAcentral is "partial 16S ribosomal RNA". It matches the Rfam family "Bacterial small subunit ribosomal RNA", at positions 30 to 523 of the family's 1533-position model. The record is from RNAcentral.